Molecule: long non-coding RNA, 253 nt
Organism: Pipra filicauda (Wire-tailed manakin)
Lineage: Eukaryota; Metazoa; Chordata; Aves; Passeriformes; Pipridae
Exons: 3
Source: RefSeq, a predicted model, not a curated record
AAGUAAGAUUGAUGUACAGCCAGGUCAAAACGUACUGAAACUCAUACAGGAUUGUUUUGAAAGUUGCAGCAGUGAUCUUACAAUAAACUCUCCAAAUGCAACCCUUUGCUCAGCUCCUGUUGUCAAAAAUAGGAAGAGGACUUCAAUGCAGAGCCAAAGCCCAAAGGCAGGAUCAACCAACUCUGUGAAAAGAGCCUGUUAUUCUCCAGAAUCCUCACCUACAUCACUGCUAAAACCAGUCAGCAGCAGAGGU